RNAcentral lists this ribosomal RNA (497 nucleotides) under uncultured bacterium. RNAcentral describes it as "partial 16S ribosomal RNA". It matches the Rfam family "Bacterial small subunit ribosomal RNA", at positions 28 to 507 of the family's 1533-position model. The record is from RNAcentral.
GAUGAACGCUGGCGGCGUGCCUAAUACAUGCAAGUCGAGCGAACAGACGAGGAGCUUGCUCCUCUGACGUUAGCGGCGGACGGGUGAGUAACACGUGCAUAACCUACCUAUAAGACUGGGAUAACUUCGGGAAACCGGCGCUAAUACCGGAUAAUAUAUUCAACCGCAUGGAUCAAUAGUGAAAGACGGUUUUCCUGUCACUUAUAGAUGGAUCCGCGCCGCAUUAGCUAGUUGGUAAGGUAACGGCUUACCAAGGCAACGAUGCGUAGCCGACCUGAGAGGGUGAUCGGCCACACUGGAACUGAGACACGGUCCAGACUCCUACGGGAGGCAGCAGUAGGGAAUCUUCCGCAAUGGGCGAAAGCCUGACGGAGCAACGCCGCGUGAGUGAUGAAGGUCUUCGGAUCGUAAAACUCUGUUAUUAGGGAAGAACAAAUGUGUAAGUAACUAUGCACGUCUUGACGGUACCUAAUCAGAAAGCCACGGCUAACUACGUG